This 101-nucleotide ribosomal RNA is filed under the name Pteropus alecto (black flying fox). The record is from RNAcentral. Lineage: Eukaryota; Metazoa; Chordata; Mammalia; Chiroptera; Pteropodidae.
UCCUGCUUGGCCAAUCUGUCCACCCUGAACAAGCUAAGCAGGGUCAGGCCUGGUUAGUACUUGAAUGGGAGACCACCUAGGAAUACCAGGUGCUGUAGGCA